Molecule: long non-coding RNA, 1369 nt
Filed under: Marmota monax (woodchuck)
Lineage: Eukaryota; Metazoa; Chordata; Mammalia; Rodentia; Sciuridae
Source: RNAcentral
CCCGGCGCGCAGGCUGCUCUCCAGUCUCGGCCACAGGGUAGCGCUCGGCCCCCCUCUCCGCGUCUCCGCCUCCGCCUGCGCCGCGCUCGUCCCCGGCUCACGCUGCCCCCGCAGCUCCGGCUCGGCGCAGGCAGGAGCGGCUCUCAGGACGCCGAGCCCGACAAGCGGAAGGCGGCGGGCUCGGCGAGCGGCGGCGGCGACCGAGGUGGGCGGCGGCAGAGCGGCCGAGGAAGGCGUAGGGGUGGCUGCAGCUCCUCCCGCCGGGGCGGUCGGCGAGCGCCGGGCAUCCGAGGGGACGCCGAGCCCCCGGGGCCGGGGCUGCUCGCCGGGCUCUCGGUGCGUCUCGCCGAGAGCUCUGGCCAGGGCGCGGCGGAGGGCAGAGCCGCCGGUCUCCAUCCUAGCGCCGGCAGGAGGCUCCGCGCCGAAGCCCUGGCUUCAGCCCGGGUCGCCGAUCCCAGCAGCCGCCCCUGCCAGCCCAAAGCUGGGGUGGACAUGGGCGCGCGGGGCUGUGUGCCGGGCCGCAGGACCAGCAAAGUUUGCUAGCCUCCUGGGCGCAGAACCGGAGGACACCCGGUCCCGAAGCCCCCGGAGGGGACCCAGCAUCUCCGGAUUCAGCGCGAGGGCGGUGGAGCCCAGAAGGGCGGCUCGGCCCCGCCAGAUACCUCCUGCAAAGUUAGAGAAGAAAACUUCAGCUCCAGGGAGACUCGGACCGUUAUGCUAACCGCGCCCCCCGAAACUGACACCCCUGGACGAACCUCAGCACCCGCGACUGCCGCCGCGCUCGGCUCGGAACGCGCCCCGGGGACCGGGCGCCUGCGACCACGGUGACUGCGUGGGUCCGGAGAACCCUACCAGGGGCGGGGAGGAGCGGGGGGCGGGCAACGUGGCCACCGGAGGAAGUUUCCUGAAGUUGUCCGCUUAUUCCGGAGCUCGGCCAGCGACCCGGCCGGAUCGCGGAGGCCGCCUUGGCUGGGAGAAGAAGUCGGAGUUGGGGUGCUAAGGGAGGCAGGCGCCCGAAUCCGAGAGGGCGGCUUUGCCUCUUUCUGUUUGCUCGCCCCUCUCCUUCCGGGCGCGCGGCCGGCAUCGGACUCGGACAGCAGAAGAGGAGGGAUUGGGGUCGCCAGCGCGGGCCCUCCCGGGCACAGUACGCCUGGGACCCAGAGCCGCGUAGACAGUCUCCUGGGACCAAGCCGCGGGGCGCCGAACCCCACGAGGAUUAUAAAGCAGGACGGAGGGGAAGGAGACCCCGGAGGACCCCCUCCAGGCUGGUCACCAUGUGGCGGCUGCUGAUCUGGACUCUGGUGGCUCUGUAUCGGAUCCGCGAGGCUGGAGCCCAAGGUACUGGGGACCAUCCCCACGUGGGGCUGGG